AUGCCUCUACAUUUCUGAGCUUCCCAGGUUCUUUAUUUCUUUACUUGUUUAUCCUCUGAUAUACAGGUCAGAUUAUCAGAGCAUCUGCAUUCAGAGAGCAACGACCAAGCCUCCAGGAGCAAUGGGGAGGGAUGAAAACACACUGUCCAUGGCACAGUAUCUCUAAUGCAUGUGGUGGGGACCCCAAAGUUCAGACCCAGAAUGCUUUGGUGGAUGCUUACAAAGAAGACUUAUUUACAUGCUGAUAGAAGCUAACCCAAAUCCCCACCUGCCAAUGUGCUGGUAUCAGAUAGGCUGCCUGAACCAGCCUCUAAAAUGGAUGGACCACUUCUAACCAGGGUGGCUAAAGCCAACUGCAUCCCAGAGCCCUCCCAUCCUCCCUUAUUACUGGAGGAGGGCCAAGUGACAAGCGCUUCUGGCCAUCCAUAGUGGGUAGGUGCAUAGCAUACCAAUCUGCACCCACCAUUAAUGUGAUGGAUGUAAUGGUACGAGGGGAUGGUAGGGUGUUUGUUUGAGUUAUUUUUGUUUGGAUUUGUUUUUUUGUUUGUUUGUUUGAGAAAUGAUUAAUGCAUCCCCUGAAAAUAACUGGAAAUAAUGGUAUUUAAUGUAUGGGAUGAAUCCAUCCUCUUCCUCUUAUAAAUACAUUUGCUAAAUAUGGAUAUGAACAAAGGCUCUCAAACUUCAGUAAUAUGUGUUACCACUAAUGACAUUGAUCUGAGGCUUUAAAAAAACACAAGAUUGCAUUUUUCUGCUGUGAGUUAUGGAAAGCUCAUUCACUUACUUUGAGGUUUACCAAAGAACAUGUUUGUGUUCAGAAUCUGUCCCUCUAGAAAAUUAAGUCUUCUGUUUAUCCACAGAAUGACAUAGAUGGAAAAUGAAUUUAAGUCUCCCCUGGCAGUCUUUUGGUUAUGUUUGCCUUGGUCUGGUCCUGAGACCACUUUGCCUUUGAGAGCCUCUGGCUUCUUGGAUUGUAGUUUUUCUGUAGAGAAGCAUGCAUAGAUACAAUAGUGUGGUGGUGGUCUCUGUAAUGUAGGUGAGGAAUUGCAAGAGACUCACUUACUGAACUGAGAUGGCAAAUUUUGUUAACACUUAUUUAAACAGCCUGUGAACCCUAUAGUCACCCUGUUUUACAAUCUUGAAUUAUGAGCUGCUUGAAAAUACAUAGUAUUUUCUGCUUAAAUAGUUUUAUGUCUGUUUAUUCCUUAAUUGAAACAGUGUGUAUGUACCUGCAAGUACCUUUCAUAUGAAAGCCAUUAUUAAAUACUGGUAUUGCAAAUGUGUCUUUAAAAUGUAUUUUAUUGUGUUACAGAGUGUUUGUUGAGAAUCUCUCCAUU
Molecule: long non-coding RNA, 1334 nt
Filed under: Coturnix japonica (Japanese quail)
Lineage: Eukaryota; Metazoa; Chordata; Aves; Galliformes; Phasianidae
Description: lncRNA (ENSCJPG00005004454.1)
Source: RNAcentral